GCCUACACGAAGCUGGAGUUGCUAGUAAUCGCGAAUCAGCAUGUCGCGGUGAAUAACGUUCCCGGGCCUUGUACACACCGCCCGUCACACCAUGAGAGUUGGCAAUACCCAACGUACGUGAUCUAACCCGCAAGGGAGGAAGCGUCCUAAGGUAGGGUCAGCGAUUGGGGUGAAGUCGUAACAAGGUAGC
RNAcentral lists this ribosomal RNA (190 nucleotides) under uncultured bacterium. RNAcentral describes it as "partial 16S ribosomal RNA". It matches the Rfam family "Bacterial small subunit ribosomal RNA", at positions 1314 to 1500 of the family's 1533-position model. The record is from RNAcentral.